AACAACAUCACUUUUAAAAGGAGGAAGACAGGCAAAUCUGGGACCACGUGGUCAGAGACAGAAAGCUACACUGAUGUCUGACACAGCAGUAAAUCUGUUGAGUGAAUCCUUUUCUGUUUGAGUAUUCAAGUAUCUCUGGACAUCGGAAUGCGUCGAACAAAAAUUAACAAACAGCGAAAUUGACAGCUGACCUUGGAGGGACUUGUUUGGGAGAGCUGACAGCAUGGGAGAAGCAAAAGUGCACAGUACUUCAGUGUAACCUUGCUGAAAAUCUACAGUGUGGAUGGUAAACUGGAUCCAAGUCAAUUUGUUUGUUGAUAAAGUUCCGAUUGGAGUGCCAUGCUUCUAGGAAUGCUCACACGUGUCCCUGUUUGGCUUGUCCUAGGAUGGAAGUGUUGUACCUGUCGAAGUGGUGUCCUAUCUCAUCUGUCCAUUAGCCUUCCAGGACCAUACACUAUCAGAGCAAGGGGAUGUGAUGGAUAGCAGUUAUAAGAAGGGGGGAAAAGUCGCAGAUACAGUCCCACAGAUGGGUUAACUCCAGGAAAGGUAACAGAGGACAGUAACCUGCAAGUGUUUCAAUCUGCUGGGCUUUUAUUGGAAACAAAUCUACUCAGAUCUGUCCAAACCUCAGACUGGAUCUGCCUUACCCUGUCCAAAUCGCAAAUGCCGGAAGAAACAUCAAAGCAGCGCUUCACAGGAGGCUCCAAUAGCACUGAUGAUGUUCCCUAGCCAGG
This is a long non-coding RNA of Hemiscyllium ocellatum (epaulette shark), 734 nucleotides long. RefSeq lists it as uncharacterized. NCBI's taxonomy places the organism in Eukaryota, Metazoa, Chordata, Chondrichthyes, Orectolobiformes, Hemiscylliidae. The transcript has 4 exons. The record is from RefSeq and is a predicted model, not a curated record.